Molecule: ribosomal RNA, 1340 nt
Rfam family: Eukaryotic large subunit ribosomal RNA
CCCGCUGAACUUAAGCAUAUUAAUAAGCGGAGGAAAAGAAACUAACAAGGAUUCCCCUAGUAACGGCGAGUGAAGCGGGAAGAGCUCAAGCUUAAAAUCUCCGUGCAAGUUUUGUGCGGCGAAUUGUAGUCUAUAGAAGCGUGGUCAGCAUGGGCACUUGGGGCAAGUUCCUUGGAAGAGGACAGCAUGGAGGGUGAUACUCCCGUUCAUUUCUGAGUUGCUCGUGCGUACGACCCGUUUUCUUUGAGUCGCGUUGUUUGGGAAUGCAGCGCAAAGUAGGUGGUAAAUUCCAUCUAAAGCUAAAUAUUGGUGCGAGACCGAUAGCGAACAAGUACCGUGAGGGAAAGAUGAAAAGAACUUUGAAAAGAGAGUUAAAGAGUACCUGAAACUGCUGAAAGGGAACCGAAUCGUUUCCAGUGUCUAUAAUCCGUGGUAUAUUUCAUUGGCGAGUGUGUGCGUGCGUGUGCUGUGGCAGCGGCUUUUUUGGCUGCGCUCGGCGUGUGUGCUGUGUGUGCUUGCUGGUGCUCUGUGCUGCGGUGGGACGUCAAGGUCAGUUCGUAUGCUGCGGGAAAUGGCUGCCGAGGAGGUAGGGCUUACGCUUGCGUUUGUCUGUUAUAUCUUGGUGGACGAGUAGUCGCGGUUGGGACUGAGGUGCCUACAACGUGCUUUUGAGUGGGUUUGUGUCUCCGUGUGCGCCGUGUGCGGAUAGCUUGCUAUGCGUGUGUGGUUGUGUGUGGAUUGAUGCGAGCUUUAACUUGUUGCCGUUCGGGACGUUGACGAAAUGGAGCGAUUCGACCCGUCUUGAAACACGGACCAAGGAGUCUAACAUGUGUGCAAGUGUUAGGGUGUGGAAACCCCAGCGCGAAAUGAAAGUGAAGGGCAGCGUAAGUUGUCUGAGGUAGGAAAUGCUGCGGGCUUCGGUUUGCGGUGUGGCACUAUCGACCGAUCAUGAACCUUCGUGGUGAAAGAUUUGAGUUUGAGCACAUAUGUUGGUACCCGAAAGAUGGUGAACUAUGCCUGAGUAGGGUGAAGCCAGGGGAAACUCUGGUGGAAGCUCGUAGCGAUUCUGACGUGCAAAUCGAUCGUCAAACUUGGGUAUAGGGGCGAAAGACUAAUCGAACCAUCUAGUAGCUGGUUCCCUCCGAAAUUUCCCUCAGGAUAGCAGCAACUUAUUUACGAUAGUUUUAUGAGGUAAAGCGAAUGAUUAGAGGAUUCGGGGAAGAAACUUCCUCGACCUAUUCUCAAACUUUAAAUCUGUAAGACCUGCAGGUUUCUUAAUUGAACUUGUGGAUGUGAAUAUCAAGUUGCUAGUGGGCCAUACGGGGUAAGCUCGUCUGGCG